GGAUGAACGCUAGCUACAGGCUUAACACAUGCAAGUCGAGGGGCAGCAUGGUCUUAGCUUGCUAAGGCCGAUGGCGACCGGCGCACGGGUGAGUAACACGUAUCCAACCUGCCGUCUACUCUUGGACAGCCUUCUGAAAGGAAGAUUAAUACAAGAUGGCAUCAUGAGUCCGCAUGUUCACAUGAUUAAAGGUAUUCCGGUAGACGAUGGGGAUGCGUUCCAUUAGAUAGUAGGCGGGGUAACGGCCCACCUAGUCUUCGAUGGAUAGGGGUUCUGAGAGGAAGGUCCCCCACAUUGGAACUGAGACACGGUCCAAACUCCUACGGGAGGCAGCAGUGAGGAAUAUUGGUCAAUGGGCGAGAGCCUGAACCAGCCAAGUAGCGUGAAGGAUGACUGCCCUAUGGGUUGUAAACUUCUUUUAUAAAGGAAUAAAGUCGGGUAUGGAUACCCGUUUGCAUGUACUUUAUGAAUAAGGAUCGGCUAACUCCGUGCCAGCAGCCGCGGUAAUACGGAGGAUCCGAGCGUUAUCCGGAUUUAUUGGGUUUAAAGGGAGCGUAGAUGGAUGUUUAAGUCAGUUGUGAAAGUUUGCGGCUCAACCGUAAAAUUGCAGUUGAUACUGGAUAUCUUGAGUGCAGUUGAGGCAGGCGGAAUUCGUGGUGUAGCGGUGAAAUGCUUAGAUAUCACGAAGAACUCCGAUUGCGAAGGCAGCCUGCUAAGCUGCAACUGACAUUGAGGCUCGAAAGUGUGGGUAUCAAACAGGAUUAGAUACCCUGGUAGUCCACACGGUAAACGAUGAAUACUCGCUGUUUGCGAUAUACUGCAAGCGGCCAAGCGAAAGCGUUAAGUAUUCCACCUGGGGAGUACGCCGGCAACGGUGAAACUCAAAGGAAUUGACGGGGGCCCGCACAAGCGGAGGAACAUGUGGUUUAAUUCGAUGAUACGCGAGGAACCUUACCCGGGCUUAAAUUGCAGAUGAAUUACGGUGAAAGCCGUAAGCCGCAAGGCAUCUGUGAAGGUGCUGCAUGGUUGUCGUCAGCUCGUGCCGUGAGGUGUCGGCUUAAGUGCCAUAACGAGCGCAACCCUUGUUGUCAGUUACUAACAGGUUCCGCUGAGGACUCUGACAAGACUGCCAUCGUAAGAUGUGAGGAAGGUGGGGAUGACGUCAAAUCAGCACGGCCCUUACGUCCGGGGCUACACACGUGUUACAAUGGGGGGUACAGAGGGCCGCUACCACGCGAGUGGAUGCCAAUCCCCAAAACCUCUCUCAGUUCGGACUGGAGUCUGCAACCCGACUCCACGAAGCUGGAUUCGCUAGUAAUCGCGCAUCAGCCACGGCGCGGUGAAUACGUUCCCGGGCCUUGUACACACCGCCCGUCAAGCCAUGGGAGCCGGGGGUACCUGAAGUGCGUAACCGCGAGGAGCGCCCUAGGGUAAAACUGG
This 1440-nucleotide ribosomal RNA is filed under the name uncultured bacterium. Its description in RNAcentral is "16S ribosomal RNA". It matches the Rfam family "Bacterial small subunit ribosomal RNA". The record is from RNAcentral.